Molecule: unclassified non-coding RNA, 244 nt
Filed under: Hevea brasiliensis (rubber tree)
Lineage: Eukaryota; Viridiplantae; Streptophyta; Magnoliopsida; Malpighiales; Euphorbiaceae
Source: RNAcentral
GGAUCCUCCGGCACUUCCGCCACCGCCGACAUCCCGCUCAAAUACACCUCCCCAGUGGGACGAGGAUACACCUCUGGGUCUAAAGGCUUUCCAUCCUGAGCCGGAUAGUAACCUAGAAACAGAGCAUGCGGAGUUAUGGCUUCCGGCUCUUUAGGUUCCAAAAUUAUACUGUGUGCUUUCAGCCCAUACACUCUGAACAGCGACGAUAGCGCCUCGAACUUCCCAGACCAUGGUCCCAACGCCA